AGUGUUCUUCAGGGCAGGGUGACUUUUUCUGAUAAGCUCAUAGGGGCUUGCAGGAAGGAAUUCCCGACCGACGGUGAUACCCAAUGGGGCAAGUCCGUGAGCCGUAUAGCAUGAUUUGGUGAGAAUCCAAAACCGACAGUACAGUCUGGAUGGGAGAAGAAGCAU
RNAcentral lists this non-coding RNA (165 nucleotides) under Lachnospiraceae bacterium A2. Its description in RNAcentral is "FMN riboswitch aptamer (RFN element)". It matches the Rfam family "FMN riboswitch aptamer (RFN element)". From Rfam's summary of the family: The RFN element is a highly conserved domain that is found frequently in the 5'-untranslated regions of prokaryotic mRNAs that encode for flavin mononucleotide (FMN) biosynthesis and transport proteins. The record is from Rfam by way of RNAcentral. RNAcentral also lists the same sequence under 1 other name. Lineage: Bacteria; Bacillati; Bacillota; Clostridia; Lachnospirales; Lachnospiraceae.